Molecule: long non-coding RNA, 2751 nt
Filed under: Mytilus galloprovincialis (Mediterranean mussel)
Lineage: Eukaryota; Metazoa; Mollusca; Bivalvia; Mytilida; Mytilidae
Source: RNAcentral
UAAUAUGGAAAAAAACUGGAGUUGUCGUUCGUUUUACGUUGAUAGGAUAGAUAGUACACAACCUACAUUCAGUUGUAAGUGGAGGGUUAAAAAAAAAGGGGGGGGGCAAAAGGGGGUCUCGGGGAGAUUUUUUUUUUUUUUUAUUAACGGAACAGAAUGGUUAAAAAGGUUUUUUACAAUAUAAAUCAAUUGCUUUAAAAAAGCAAUUGUAGGGGGUCUUUCCCCCUUUAAAAUUAAUUGAAUUUGGGGGGGGGGGGUUUGUUUGUUUGUUUGUUUGUUUGUUUGUUUGUUUCUGUAUGGGGUCUAUAUUAUUGUUACCGGAGAAGUUUCAUGUUUAGUUUGGAAAGUUUUUCUUUUAUUUUAGGUACAGCGCGCGCGCCACAUCACGUGACACGGGUUUAUAAUAACGAAAAGAUAGUCUUUUUAUUCCUUUUUAGGUGGGGACUUUGAACAGACAACAUGUAUAGAGACGGAAUGCACACAAUGUAAUUUCUUUUGUCAUUGUAGGAAAUUGACAUUUUGAUGACAGUUCACAAACAGUGCAUGAUUUGGAUUUAUUUGAUCCGGUGUAACUUUAAAACACAUUUAUUGAUUAUUUUUCUGAUAAUGUACAUUUUUCAGCACCUGUUUGUAACACAGAUUAGUAUUUCAAUCUCGGAGCGGACAUUUUAUUGUAGGCUUUUACUGAAAUUUACGGACCUAGCAAGCAAUUUUUACGGCAUUGCAAUUUUUUUUCUCUAGGAAAAGCUUUGAGAGAUAUCUGCACCAAAUUUUUUUACAAACUUUUAGUACAUGUAUGCCCUGCUGACUGCAAAUUUUGAGGUCGAUUGUAUUUGUAGUUUCAGAGUACAUGUGGAUUUUUUUUUCAGAAGUGACGCAAGAACAAUAUUAAAUUUCAAUUUUUCAUGAAACAUGAUUGAUUGAUCAUGAAACAUGAUUGAUUGAUCAUGAUCAUGAUCAUUUUGAUUGAUGAUUGAUUGAUUGAUUGAUUGAUUGAUUAUUGGUUGGUUGGUUGGUUGGUUGGUAAAACACGUUGGAUAGGGCCAAUUGAAACAGCGAAAAAGAAACAAAAAAGAUCUUGGACCCUAUAUUAAACACACGAGACGGAAACAUGAUUGAUUGAUUGAUUGAUUGAUUGAUUGAUUGAUUGAUUGGUUGGUUGGUUGGUUGGUUGGUUGGUUGGUUGGUUGGUUGGUUGGUUAAACACGUUGGAUAGGGCCAAUUGAAACAGCGAAAAAGAAACAAAGAAGAUCUUGGACCCUAUAUUAAACACACGAGACGAGACGGAAACAUGAUUGAUUGAUCAUGAUUGAUUGAUUGAUUGAUUGAUUGAUUGAUUGAUUGAUUGAUUGAUUGAUUGAUUGAUUGAUUGGUUGGUUGGUUGGUUGGUUGGUUGGUUGGUUGGUUGGUUGGUUAAACACGUUGGAAAGGGUCAAUUGAAACAGCGAAAAAGAAACAAAGGAGAUCUUGAACCCUAUAUUAAACACAUGAGACGGAAACAUGAUUGAUUGAUUGAUUGAUUAAUCAUGAUCAUGAUUGGUUGAUUGAUUGAUCAUGAUCAUGAUUUGUUGAUUGAUCAUUAUUGAUUGAUCAUGAUUGGUUGGUUGGUUGGUUGGUUGGUUGGCAAACACACAUAAAAUUCUUCAAGUCGUGCCCCAAAUCACAUAUGUACAUGACCUUGACCUUUGACCUUGUGACCUUUGUCAAGGUCAUUGCUUCACAAUGUCAUUGCAAAAGACCCUAUGGGUCAAGGACCUUUUGUUUAAGAGUUUUGCCUAAUAAUGGCUUUUUAUAAACCAUCAAUGGGGGUUAUGUCCCUUACAUAAUGGUAAAACCAAUACAGUCAUAAUGUAACAAAGUUGCCCCUUGAAGUACUGAACAUUUUUCACUGCUUAAAUUUUCUGUAUCUAUAACCAUUCAAGAAUUAUAGGGAAAUCAAAGACAUAUGAAAAUCUAAAAUAUGACCUUGACCUUUGACCUUGACCUAAUUUUCUAAGUUAGGACCCAGGGGACUCAAAUAAAAACAUUCCAGGGUUAUACGGUUAACGGUUUAUGAGUUAAAAAAAACAUACCGACAAAUUUAUUCCGUAAAGGUACAUAACUCCUAUAAAAUUUCAUCGAAUCGCUUCGAUCCAAAUUAGCCAAAAAUUCCUGAGGAUGUAACGAACAAUUUGUAAAAAGAAUUUUGUCGCUUUCUUAUUUUGUUACGAAGGAGAUGCACACACAUGACAAACAGUGAAUAGGGAGAUAACUCUUACAAAGAAAAUGGUUCGGCUUAGCAGGGUGAAAUUUAAAAGCGCAUAAACUAUACGAUACAAUAUGAAAAAAAUCUAAGCGACAUAUUGCGAAACAAACAUUUAUCGCAAGAACAAAAUUUGGCGGAAAAAAAAAAAAUAAUAAUAAUAAUAAUAAUAAUCAGAACAAAUACAAUAGGCUUUCCACAGAAAAGUGGAAAGACCUAAUAAUAUGGAAAAAAACUGGAGUUGUCGUUCGUUUUACGUUGAUAGGAUAGAUAGUACACAACCUACAUUCAGUUGUAAGUGGAGGGUUAAAAAAAAGGGGGGGGGGCAAAAGGGGGUCUCGGGGAGAUUUUUUUUUUUUUUUUAUUAACGGAACAGAAUGGUUAAAAAGGUUUUUUACAAUAUAAAUCAAUUGUUUUAAAAAAGCAAUUGUAGGGGGUCUUUCCCCCUUUAAAAUUAAUUGAAUUUGGGGGGGGGGGUUUGUUUGUUUGUUUGUUUGUUUGUUUGUUUG